UAGAAUUGCAAAUGCUCAGGCCUACACGU
RNAcentral lists this non-coding RNA (29 nucleotides) under Rattus norvegicus (Norway rat). The record is from RNAcentral. Lineage: Eukaryota; Metazoa; Chordata; Mammalia; Rodentia; Muridae.